Molecule: long non-coding RNA, 4541 nt
Organism: Culex pipiens pallens (northern house mosquito)
Lineage: Eukaryota; Metazoa; Arthropoda; Insecta; Diptera; Culicidae
Exons: 7
Source: RefSeq, a predicted model, not a curated record
UUGAAAGUCCGUAGACCCACGAUGUUUUGUAAGGCAACGAUGUUUUUCGAAAAUUUCGAUGAACUGUAUGCUACGCGUUAGAGCGAAAGAGAAAGCAUGCUUUGUAUUUUCAUCGAAGUUUCGCUAAGCAUGCUAUCUCGUUCUUUCAUGUUUGCGAAUUUUCGGCACUUCUGUCAAACUCAAAACUUCUCACGUCAUUUGCGUGUUUGGCUGUGAAAAAAAAGUUAGGCCACGACAUUUUUCCGAUGCAAUUCUGGGGUUUCCGGUUCCUGGUGCAGUGCAACGGCAGCGGCUUGAGCUAAUGGCUGGACACCGAUUCUGACGUAGAGGACGCCGACUUGGGCAACGUAACGUCCCCUUUCAGAACCAGAACCAGUCAACAAACAGCGGCUGUGCCAAGUUGCCAACGGUGACCAAGUGGUAUGUUGUGCUGGGGACGAAAACGACCAAUCUGGCAUUCGGUGGUAGCGGAACCGGUGCUGAAGGAGCGUAGGCAAAAACAUUCGGUAGUCGACUCCAGAAACAAUAAAAACGGCAGUCGGUUCCAAAGUAGGGCGACGUGUUCCUUCGGGCGGUCAGUUCAACAGAAGGGGAACGUGGAAUCUGUCCACACGAGUGCUUCCGGCGAGGCUCCCUGAACUCCGCGGCGUCAUACUUCGAAGUAUUCUUCCGAAACGCCAAAUAAGACACCGCCCUCCAUCAGGCGCAAAACCUACCGUAACAGUGUAUCUUCGGGUGAUAGUUCCGGGCCGCGAUAAGCACUACGGCUAGGCCAACACGCAAGUCGGUGUCCGGAAGCGCGCAAAAGUUGCAGAAAAGCGUUACCCAUCGACAAACUGACAACGAUCAAGAGCGCGGAGAAGUUUGCUGGUCAACAAUCUGCAGGACGUGCGCGUGAAAAUGGCCAAGGCCGGGGUCGGUGACAAGAGCCGGCUGAAUCGAGACGAGAGUGAGGUUCGGAGGCCAUGCAGGCGCUUUGGUUUUGUUACGGAACACGAUACAAGUUGUUAGGAAGCUUAAGACGCCGGUGGUGGUUUCUAAGAAGGUGGCCGGUAGGAUCUGGUACAACAUCGGCAGCAUUGGCACCAGCCGGGAUUUCCCCGAUGCCGGAGUGGCCAGCAGGGACGAUGGUGAUCAAUCUCCGGACACAAUCGGAAUGGCGUGGCGUCGGUGUUGCAUGACGGAUUUGGUCGAACGAUGACUUGAGCUGGACGACGGAAUGACAACGCUUCAACAACAAAAGUCUUUUCGCAACCAUUUACUGUUUUCUGUCUGAACACACGAAAGACUUUGAAACAAAGUGCCCUGCGAAGUAGUCCAUCAUCAAACGCGCGAUUCUCGAUCAACGGCGAUUCCGCGAAGGUUCUCUGAACGCCGCGUAUCGCCCAGACAGAACCAGCCGUUUCCCCGGGCAAUAGCAGGACCCGAAAUCCCCCACGUUGUGUUACCUUCCGGAAAACUCCUGAAGCUGCAGUUUGACCAGCGCGUGUUUUCAGCCACGAGAUUAACGGAGCUCGUCAAAUCUCCGCAAAUGGUCCACGUUGCAAAAAAAAAAAUCUUGCCCCAAAGGGCGGCAAUUUCUCGUUCAAAACGAAAGAUGUUGGGUGAUGGAACUGUCACACGGGAUGGCCACGUUACUGCCAGUGCUCUAGGAAUGACGUUACUCGCUUGAAGUUCCGCACUAACACGCCUAGAUUGGCAAAUCGGAACCGGCCCACGUUCUUAGAACUUCUUCCCCGGCCUCUAUCCGGAAUUGACACCCACGACUGCCAUGGCCCUGCAAAUGUCCUUGAUCCACCGCUGCACGGAGCAGUGUCGUAACGUUAACCGAGGACAAAAUGGAAGCUGACCUGCUGGUCGGUUACGGCGAAGUUGCGCUCAGAUGAUUUCAGCCGCCACCCGGCACAUGAACCGCCGUAACCGAGAAGCGGAAGAAGGUUCCGUGGCUGCGGUCAGCACGAAGACUAAAUCCCGGCUUAACGUGAGUGUGGGUAGCCGAACAUGACGAAUACAACAUUCAUAUGCAUCGACCGCAGGCGUGCCGGAAGUCGAUCUGUCCAAAUGGGAAACGCGCAAUCGUUCCAUAACGAACACGCCGGUUACGAGAAGUUCGCCGACGACGACUGGCUCGAUUAGGGGAAAAAAAUCUGAAACUUCCGUUGUCGAAACGCGCUUUACCCGAUUCUAGAGACAAAAGGCACUUCUACUGAACCGACAACGCGGGGCAGGGUCCCCCAAAGCAUCCCAGCUGGGUGGUUCCGAGUCCGACGAUUGUACGCAGUGGCCGGGUGUUGUACGCUACAAAGCUACCACCUUAGCAUAAUACCUUCGCUUUCCAAGACACAAACUUCGGCUACUGUAUCAUUUUGUCUGAGAUCAAAACUUUGGCCUCGUAGCUGAAUCACCUGAUAGGUGGUCAAUUAGCAGCGGAAUCAGUGCUGAAGGUAGUCGGUUGUGAAUUCGCAACAGGCAGUAUGUUCCGUUGUAGCUAAUCCGGUUACGAGGACCGACGAGAAGCUGCAGCACAUCGAGGUGAUUGCCAAUGGACAACGAGUUCGAUUACAACCAAACGCUACAGUUUUCGGACAAUGAGUCGGAACCGAACCCGCCGAAGGAGGUGCCGGUGAAGCAGGUUAGCAAGCAGCAGCUGCAACGCGCGCGUGAAUCGCCUGUCCGUCAACCACCGCUGCCCUUGCAAUAACAUGGCAAUGUCGGCUUUGGAGGACUGGACGCCGAGGCCAAGUCACGUCUCAAGUUGCGUCGUGAAGAGGGCCAGCGAAGGGAGAGGGAACGUAACCAGGAAGCUUCAGGAGCUGUAGCAAGAGCUGAAAAGUAAGAAGGAAGAAAUUAGGGUCUUCACCGGUCAAUGACGAUUUUCUGGAUCAGCAGCCAUCGGCUGCAACUUACAGCGAAUCGAGCGAGGGAAAGAACCGCAGCGAUUCGAGCAAUGCGAUCGGGGUGGCGAUCUGAGAGACAUUAGAUAUCAACGGUAUGAAUACGGAAGUCACGAUCGGUACGGUGGUGAUCGUGACGGCGCCUGGGACAAUCCGCCGUUGUCUAAGAACUUCUAAACUAUUCUACCGCCGAGCUUCCAGAAGCGUAGGCUAGCGUGCACCGGCCCAGCAGCAGCAGGGUGACGGCAAGAGCGGUACUGGCUGGUCUGAUUUGCGGGGAAAUCGGUCGGAAGAUGACGAAGAAGAGAAUUAACAUUGAGUGGUUCCGGUGAAAUUGCCGAACGCCGCGGCCUCUUGGCUUGCCGGAUACGCAGGCCGUGAACCGGCGCAUGAGCGGGAGGCAGCGCCCAAUACGAGCCAGCAGGAACUUUAAAAAACACGGACAACCCCCGAAACGCAACUCGCGUUCCGUCUCGUCCCGGCGAAGCGUAGGAACCAGUCUACAGUGGUGAGUCAACACUUGGUAAAUAAAAACAUUAACAAAUGUAAUUAAUUUACAUAGCGCCGCAAUUGGCAAAUUGCGCAACGAGCUUGUCGCAUUCUUCGGCAAGCACGCCCCGAGCAUGCCUUUCUACUAAAGGUCUACGCUGGUCAGACACUGGCCUUCCUUUGGGCAACAGAUGGAACCUCUGCAACAGAUCGUACUGGAUGUGACUGUUGAAAAGGUACCCGGUCGGGUCGGUGAAGCAAUAAGUCGCCGGAAGCUUGUAAGUUACCUCGAAACAAUGCUGGGCGAAACAGCCUGGAUUGACGUUCAUGACCCUGCAAGUGCGCUGGUAUCAAACUGAUAGCACACCAUGGCCCACCUGCGCAGCAACAGUGCCGGGGAAUCGAUCGUGGCGAUCGUGACCGCGGUACAAGGUCCCACGGGAGAUUAUGAAGCGUCGCAUUUUCUCCAAGGAGGACGAUCGCUUCAGCAGCGGUGCCCGGAGUCAUCCUGCAAGAUAAGCGGCAACGGUGGCCGUACAGCGCCGCAGUCCAAUCGAAGCAGAUUAUCAUCGGUUAGUGAUGCGGAAAAGGAGGAUCGUCGACUGUCGAAGGCAGCCGCUCCGUUGACCGAGGCAAACCACAUGCAGCAGUUCCAGCAGCAACCAGAUUCGCGUUGAAUUUUGGAAUCGUUAGAUCCUAGAGCGGAUCAAGGAAACUCCGGACAAGGCCUUGGGAAGAUUUGGUAGUAGCUGCGGAGGAAGCGAGCUAGUCACGCAAUCUCGUUGGACGAGAUGACGAAAAAAAGUACACUUCCGGAUCGGAUGCUGGCAAGAACGACAGCGGUAGUGUGUCUGCGGACCGUUCAGGUGCAGUCUAUUGAGCUAACGAACAACGAAUCCAACUGGCGGUUCGGUUUUAGAAGCGCAAGACCUACAAUCACCUCCGAGCUCCCGGAGGUUUCCCAGUACAGUACUAGUACCGAAAGCUGCCGUUUGAACAGGUCGUGUUUUCAACGACCCCAACAGUUUAUGUACCGUAGCAUACCAAAAGUCCGACAUCCAGCCACAAGAUUAACGAAGAAUCUCCGGAACCGUGUUCCUAGAAGUUUUUUUCCUCAAGAUUCCCCCAAGACGUUCCUGGAACAUUGCUCCAGCUGCU